This 484-nucleotide ribosomal RNA is filed under the name uncultured bacterium. RNAcentral describes it as "partial 16S ribosomal RNA". It matches the Rfam family "Bacterial small subunit ribosomal RNA", at positions 30 to 507 of the family's 1533-position model. The record is from RNAcentral.
AUUGAACGCUGGCGGCAGGCCUAACACAUGCCAGUCGAGCGGAUGAAGGGAGCUUGCUCCUGGAUUCAGCGGCGGACGGGUGAGUAAUGCCUAGGAAUCUGCCUGGUAGUGGGGGAUAACGUCCGGAAACGGGCGCUAAUACCACAUACGUCCUGAGGGAGAAAGUGGGGGAUCUUCGGACCUCACGCUAUCAGAUGAGCCUAGGUCGGAUUAGCUAGUUGGUGGGGUAAAGGCCUACCAAGGCGACGAUCCGUAACUGGUCUGAGAGGAUGAUCAGUCACACUGGAACUGAGACACGGUCCAGACUCCUACGGGAGGCAGCAGUGGGGAAUAUUGGACAAUGGGCGAAAGCCUGAUCCAGCCAUGCCGCGUGUGUGAAGAAGGUCUUCGGAUUGUAAAGCACUUUAAGUUGGGAGGAAGGGCAGUAAGUUAAUACCUUGCUGUUUUGACGUUACCAACAGAAUAAGCACCGGCUAACUUCGUG